This 78-nucleotide transfer RNA is filed under the name Otolemur garnettii (small-eared galago). It matches the Rfam family "tRNA". From Rfam's summary of the family: Transfer RNA (tRNA) molecules are approximately 80 nucleotides in length. Their secondary structure includes four short double-helical elements and three loops (D, anti-codon, and T loops). The record is from Rfam by way of RNAcentral. Lineage: Eukaryota; Metazoa; Chordata; Mammalia; Primates; Galagidae.
GCGCCUGUGGCUCAAAGGAGUAGGGCACCGGCCCCAUAUGCCGGAGGUGGUAGGUUCAAAGGUUCCAACCCAGCCCCA